GAAGGAGCAGAAGGGGCCCGUGACCGCCCUGUGCCACUGCAAUGGCCACCUGGUGUCGGCCAUCGGCCAGAAGAUUUUCCUGUGGAGCCUGCGGGCCAGCGAGCUGACAGGCAUGGCCUUCAUCGACACGCAGCUCUACAUCCACCAGAUGAUCAGCGUCAAGAACUUCAUCCUGGCAGCCGACGUCAUGAAGAGCAUUUCGCUGCUGCGCUACCAGGAGGAAAGCAAGACGCUGAGCCUGGUGUCGCGGGUACGCCUGUGGCCGCGGUGCCCGUGUCUGGGUGGGUACCCGCCCAAGGCACCUCUGACGCUCCCUCCCUGCCCCAGGAUGCCAAGCCCCUGGAGGUGUACAGCGUGGACUUCAUGGUGGACAAUGCCCAGCUGGGUUUUCUGGGUAUGUGGCAGGGUCUGGGGAGCUGAGGCUCUGGGAGUGGCCGGAGCUGACUCUGGGCCUCUGCUCCCCAGUGUCUGACCGCGACCGCAACCUCAUGGUGUACAUGUACCUGCCUGAAGGUGAGUGCUUCCUCCACCCCCUCUGCCUGGGCCGGGGCUGGGCUAGCAGUGACCCUAGGCCUUUCUGGUCUAGCCAAGGAGAGUUUCGGGGGCAUGCGCCUGCUGCGCCGGGCGGACUUCCACGUGGGUGCCCACGUGAACACGUUCUGGAGGACCCCGUGCCGGGGGGCCGCUGAGGGGCUCAGCAAAAAGUCGGUCGUGUGGGAGAAUAAGCACAUCACGUGGUUUGCCACCCUGGACGGCGGCAUCGGGCUGCUGCUGCCCAUGCAGGAGAAGACCUACCGGCGGCUGCUGAUGCUGCAGAACGCGCUGACCACUAUGUUGCCA
This 840-nucleotide small RNA is filed under the name Pongo abelii (Sumatran orangutan). RNAcentral's name for it is "retained intron". The stretch from base 398 to 477 matches the Rfam family "mir-939 microRNA precursor family". Lineage: Eukaryota; Metazoa; Chordata; Mammalia; Primates; Hominidae. The record is from RNAcentral.